GCCUCCGUAGCUCAGUGGUAGAGCACUCGCCUUGUAAGCGAAAGGUCGUCAGUUCAAUCCUGACCGGGGGCUCCA
This 75-nucleotide transfer RNA is filed under the name Mycolicibacterium chitae. RNAcentral describes it as "tRNA-Thr(tgt)". It matches the Rfam family "tRNA". From Rfam's summary of the family: Transfer RNA (tRNA) molecules are approximately 80 nucleotides in length. Lineage: Bacteria; Bacillati; Actinomycetota; Actinomycetes; Mycobacteriales; Mycobacteriaceae. The record is from RNAcentral. RNAcentral also lists the same sequence under 2 other names.